AUUGAACGCUGGCGGCAGGCCUAACACAUGCAAGUCGAACGAGUGGCGGACGGGUGAGUAAUGUCUGGGAAACUGCCUGAUGGAGGGGGAUAACUACUGGAAACGGUAGCUAAUACCGCAUACCAUCAGAUGUGCCCAGAUGGGAUUAGCUAGUUGGUGGGGUAACGGCUCACCAAGGCGACGAUCCCUAGCUGGUCUGAGAGGAUGACCGGCCACACUGGGACUGAGACACGGGCCAGACUCCUACGGGAGGCAGCAGUGGGGAAUAUUGCGCAAUGGGCGAAAGCCUGAUGCAGCAAUGCCGCGUGUAUGAAGAAGGCCUUCGGGUUGUAAAGCACUUUCGGCGGGGAGGCGGUACCCAAAGAGAAAGCAACGGCUAACUCCGUGCCAGCAGCCGCGGUAAUAC
Molecule: ribosomal RNA, 406 nt
Filed under: uncultured bacterium
Lineage: Bacteria
Description: partial 16S ribosomal RNA
Rfam family: Bacterial small subunit ribosomal RNA
Source: RNAcentral